Molecule: ribosomal RNA, 1985 nt
Filed under: human gut metagenome
Description: bacterial LSU rRNA
Rfam family: Bacterial large subunit ribosomal RNA
Source: RNAcentral
ACAAGUAUACAAGAGCAUCGGGUGGAUGCCUUGGCGUCGGAAGGCGAAGAAAGACGUGGUAAGCUGCGAUAAGCCUCGGGGAGAAGCUAAACAUUCUGCGAUCCGGGGAUGUCUGAAUGGGGAAACCCGGCGGGAGUCAUGUCCCGUCAUCCGCAAGUGAAUACAUAGCUUGCAGGAAGCCAACUCAGGGAAGUGAAACAUCUCAGUACCUGAAGGAAAGGAAAUCAAACGAGACUCCCUCAGUAGCGGCGAGCGAAGGGGGAAGAGCCUAAACCGGUUGGAUUCGUCCAGCCGGGGUUGUAGGGCCGGCAUAGGUGAUUCAUGAGUAGGCAGGGGAAGGAAGCUGGAAAGCUUUGCCAAAGCGGGUGACAGCCCCGUACCCGAACCUGAAAGUGACACAGCCGGUACCUGAGUACCGCGGGGCACGUGAAACCCCGUGGGAAUCCGGGAGGACCAUCUUCCAAGGCUAAGUACUAACCGACGACCGAUAGUGCACCAGUACCGUGAGGGAAAGGUGAAAAGAACCCCUGUCAGGGGAGUGAAAUAGAAUCUGAAACCUGAUGCUUACAAGCUGUGGGAGCCGUGCUUGCAUGGUGACCACGUGCCUUUUGCAUAAUGAGUCAGCGAGUUAAUCUGUACUGCGAGGUUAAGCGUAAGUGGAGCCGUAGCGAAAGCGAGUCUGAUAAGGGCGAUAGUAGUGCGGAUUAGACCCGAAACCGGGUGAUCUAUCCAUGAGCAGGUUGAAGCACGGGUAAAACCUUGUGGAGGACCGAACCCAUACCGGCUGAAAACGGUUGGGAUGACUUGUGGAUAGGGGUGAAAGGCCAAUCAAACCCGGUGAUAGCUGGUUCUCCCCGAAAUAUAUUGAGGUAUAGCCUCGUGGAUUGUCUACCGGAGGUAAAGCACUGACAGAGCUAGGGGUCCUACCAGAUUACCAAACUCUUUCAAACUCAGAAUGCCGGUCAGAUGUACCACGGGAGUCAGACAGUGGGUGCUAAGGUCCAUUGUCGAGAGGGUAAGAGCCCAGAUCAACAGCUAAGGUCUCCAAAUAUAUGCUCAGUGGUUAAGGUGGUGACGUUGUAGAGACACCCAGGACGUUGGCUUAGAAGCAGCCAUCGUUUAAAGAAAGCGUAAUAGCUCACUGGUCUAAUGACGUUGCGCCGAAAAUGUAACGGGGCUAAGCAUAUUACCGAAGCUUUGAAUUCCGCGUAUGCGGUCUGGUAGGGGAGCGUUCUUCAUGGGCUGAAGGUGUGUUGUAAAGCAUGCUGGACUGUGGAGAAGUGAUUAUGCUGACAUGAGUAACGAUAAAACGGGUGAAAAACCCGUUCGCCGUAAACCCAAGGUUUCCUGGGUAAAGGUAAUCUUCCCAGGGUUAGUCGGCCCCUAAGGCAAGGCUGAAAGGCGUAGCUGAUGGGAAACGUGUUAAUAUUCACGUACUUGUGUGUUCGCGCGAAGGAGGGACGCAGGAAGAUAGGCGAUCCGGGUGUUGGAUUACCCGGUGCAAGCGAGUAGGCAUGGGAAGCAGGCAAAUCCGUUUCCCUGUAUGCUGAGACGCGAGUCCGUGGGCGUAAGCCCUGAAGUCGCUGAGUCUAUGCUGCCAAGAAAAGCUUCUAAGUUUAGAACACGCAAACCGUACCGGAAACCAACUCAGGUGGGUGGGAUGAAUAAUCCAAGGCGCUCGAGAGAACUCUGGCCAAGGAACUCGGCAAAAUAACCCCGUAACUUCGGAAGAAGGGGUGCUCCUUUAGGUGAAGCGAUUCACUUGUUGAGCCUGAGGGAGCCGCAGAGAAAUGGUGGUGGCGACUGUUUACUAAAAACAUAGGUCUGUGCGAAGUCGUAAAGACGACGUAUACGGACUGACGCCUGCCCGGUGCCGGAAGGUUAAAAGGAGGAGUCAGCGCAAGCGAAGCUCCGAAUUGAAGCCCCGGUAAACGGCGGCCGUAACUAUAACGGUCCUAAGGUAGCGAAAUUCCUUGUCAGGUAAG